RNAcentral lists this ribosomal RNA (592 nucleotides) under Streptomyces sp. ANA1001. Its description in RNAcentral is "bacterial SSU rRNA". It matches the Rfam family "Bacterial small subunit ribosomal RNA", at positions 92 to 697 of the family's 1533-position model. Lineage: Bacteria; Bacillati; Actinomycetota; Actinomycetes; Kitasatosporales; Streptomycetaceae. The record is from RNAcentral.
UUAGUGGCGAACGGGUGAGUAACACGUGGGCAAUCUGCCCUGCACUCUGGGACAAGCCCUGGAAACGGGGUCUAAUACCGGAUACUGAUUGUCUUGGGCAUCCUUGAUGAUCGAAAGCUCCGGCGGUGCAGGAUGAGCCCGCGGCCUAUCAGCUUGUUGGUGAGGUAACGGCUCACCAAGGCGACGACGGGUAGCCGGCCUGAGAGGGCGACCGGCCACACUGGGACUGAGACACGGCCCAGACUCCUACGGGAGGCAGCAGUGGGGAAUAUUGCACAAUGGGCGAAAGCCUGAUGCAGCGACGCCGCGUGAGGGAUGACGGCCUUCGGGUUGUAAACCUCUUUCAGCAGGGAAGAAGCGAAAGUGACGGUACCUGCAGAAGAAGCGCCGGCUAACUACGUGCCAGCAGCCGCGGUAAUACGUAGGGCGCAAGCGUUGUCCGGAAUUAUUGGGCGUAAAGAGCUCGUAGGCGGCUUGUCGCGUCGGUUGUGAAAGCCCGGGGCUUAACCCCGGGUCUGCAGUCGAUACGGGCAGGCUAGAGUUCGGUAGGGGAGAUCGGAAUUCCUGGUGUAGCGGUGAAAUGCGCAGAUAU